RNAcentral lists this ribosomal RNA (409 nucleotides) under uncultured bacterium. Its description in RNAcentral is "bacterial SSU rRNA". It matches the Rfam family "Bacterial small subunit ribosomal RNA", at positions 354 to 776 of the family's 1533-position model. The record is from RNAcentral.
GUCGAGAAUUUUUCACAAUGGGGGCAACCCUGAUGGAGCGACGCCGCGUGGAGGACGAAGGGCUUCGUGCUUGUAAACUCCUGUCAAGCGGGAACAAGAAAGUGAUAGUACCGCUAGAGGAAGAGACGGCUAACUCUGUGCCAGCAGCCGCGGUAAUACAGAGGUCUCGAGCGUUGUUCGGAUUCAUUGGGCGUAAAGGGUGCGUAGGCGGUGUGGUAAGUCGAAUGUGAAAUCUCGGAGCUCAACUCCGAAACUGCAUUCGAUACUGCCAUACUCGAGGAUUGUAGAGGAGAUCGGAAUUCACGGUGUAGCAGUGAAAUGCGUAGAUAUCGUGAGGAAGACCAGUUGCGAAAGCGGAUCUCUGGGCAACUCCUGACGCUGAGGCACGAAGGCUAGGGGAGCAAACGGG